CUUUAUGGCAGCUGUACGUGGGAGAUCUUCGGAUCUGCCGGGUUGAUCUGGAUACCGGUUCGCCAACCCGCGUACAGCGGCCACCUGU
This 88-nucleotide non-coding RNA is filed under the name Pseudomonas deceptionensis. Lineage: Bacteria; Pseudomonadati; Pseudomonadota; Gammaproteobacteria; Pseudomonadales; Pseudomonadaceae. The record is from RNAcentral.